ACAUCGCGUCGCCACACCUCGACUCUCCUCCGCUCUUCCCCGCUCUCCCCAUCUGACCCCCCUCCUGCCUACUGCCUCCUCUCUCCUCGUCCGCUGUGCUGCGUCGUCUGGGCCCCACCCCCACCCCUGCCUUUGCCUCUCCCGUCUGCCUCGGCGUCGCCCUUCUCAGUCUCUCGCUCUUGUGCGUUCUCGCCCAUGGCGUACAAUAUCACCGUCAUUGUCUACGUGGUCGUGCAGUUCGUGGCGUUCCUUCUGGUGCUGGUGGGAACGCCCUCUGACAUGUUUCUCCUUCCCGACACUGCUGUGGGGGCAGUUUGCUUUUCCUUGUGGGGAUAUAGGCUCACAUGCAGUUCUUCUGGGUAUUAUAAGUAUGUAGGGAAGCAAUGGCAAGAUUGCCCUCCACGCAUCACCCGAUUCCGCGUUGCGCAGGGAUGCGCCAUCAUCUCCAUCCUAGUGUACGGCGGAGCGUUCAUGCUGGGCUUUAUUUUGCUGUUCUGCUGCUCUUUGCUCCGGUGGGUCUGCCUGGCGCUCAACGUGGUCGGCAUGGUCACCUCGUGCAUUGUGUGGGCGGCCAUGGCGAGGACAUACAACCAGUAUGAUGGGAUACUUUGUUUUCCUGUAAAACGAUUCGGUAAAUAUGCCGCCGGGUUUGUUCUCUUUGUGAUCGCCUGGAUACUGGAUAUCAUCAACAUCAUCUUGUUGCUGCUUCCCUGCACGAUCACCGACGCUCCACAGGAUAAGACAGAGGAGCCACCGACAGCGCAGGAGUAGGAUAGAGGUAGGACAAGUGAGAGGAGGGCGAGCUUGGAAACGGCGCGGCCCCUCCCCCACACCGGCGUCCUCGUGGUGGAGCCGGUGUCGGCGAGGAUGAGGGUGCGCAAGCUGCGGGUUCCCGUGUGUGCCCUUCGCCGGCCCAGCCCUCUCGCUCCCUGUCGUGCGCGCGUGCGUGUGCGCGGGCAGCAGCGGCACCGCCGUGCACAGGCACCGCUGCCAAGGGGGCGAUUGCAGCACUUCCCGCAUGCCUGCGUGUGAUACACGGCGGCUGCGUGUGUGCAGGCGCAUGCGCCCCUGUGCCCCUCCUCCCCCUUGUUCCGUGAGCGGCCCCCGCGACCAUCGCUCACUUACGCUGCCGUUGUUCGCGGGUGCCGCCCCACGCUCUCGCCUUACUCGACGCUCGUCUCUUUCGAGCUCGCUCAUGCUUGCUGUUCUCUCCUGCGCGCAGAGAGAGGUGCGUGGCGUGUGCGUGUGCGUGCGCCUCUGCGCCUCCCUCCGCUGCUCGCACCCUCCCUGUGCGCGUGUGUGCUGGCGGAGGCGGCUGGCUGUGGCGACGACGCAGGCACGGGCAGCAGCCGUGCAGCACAGCAGGCGCGUACACGCAUACACACCUAUACACGCGGGAACGGGACUGCAGGCGAGGGGCAGGACCGGAGAAUGCGCGGCGGCACGAGCGAGUGCGACGGUGGAGCGGAGCAGCGGCGGCGCUGCUUUCCUGCUCGCUCCUCUGGCGUCUGGCUCGAGCCCGUCUGCGUGUGCGCCCCCUGUGUCGCUGUGUCUCCUCGCCUCUCUCCUGCGCGAUUUGUGUCGAUGGCUUCGUUGCUGACGCACCCCACCGAGUCCUCCAGGCUCCGCCGUGUGGAGUUGCCACGCCGUAUGUGACGGGUUGCAGCGCACCGACGCGACUGUGGGGAGAGAAGCACUGCAUCCAGGUCGACUACACUGCAGGGCCUCACAGGGCCCUGACCGGAGGCUGGGCAGCAUUCUCCCUCGGCUCGUGCGGCACGUAGAGCCACCGCUCCCCACGAACGCCCUGCUACCCUUGGUUACCCCCUCCCCACCGACAGAGGCCAGCGCCUCCGUCAUGGAGCACGACCCUGAGGGGGCGGCCCGCUGGGAGCGCGGCGUGCCGUGCGCCCCGGUGCGUGUGGCGCCGAUGCAGCGGCAGGACGGCUCGUCCUCGACGACGCGGAUGUGGCCGCCGUGCCACAGGGCGUAGGCGGGCCGUGGCUGUACGCGCGCAUCUGCCGGCUUGUGCGUGGUGGCGUGGAGGCGGUGAGAAGGAAGUGCAUGCCUCGCGGACUCGGACAGACAUGCGAAUCAGCACAUCUAAACACAAGCAAAACGACGCGUGCAUAUAUGCACCGAUAUCUAUAUAUAUAUGGGUGUGUGGAUGUCUGGAACGACAAAACCGCCAAACGCCUGUUAUUACGCUGUCCUCGCCUGGCAGGGCGGGGGGCGUGCGUGCGCUUGCUUCUCCUCUCUUGCUUGUCCUGUGUUUCCUUUGCGGCACGCCUUCCUGCGCGCGUGCCUGGUAUUUAUCAUGCUUGCUUCCGUUGUCCGACUCGUUCAAACCAACAGCGUCACCGCCGCCACUGCCGCCCCCCUCCUCCGCGAGAGGGCAGGGUAGGGGGUGCAGGCGGCGCUCCUUGCUGCUGCCCGUGGUGGGGCCGCGCCAUGUACGUGCAGGUGUGCGCGCGCCCUCCGGCAGCGCAGCCGCUUUCUGCGCCGAUGCCUCAUCAUGUGCCCCACUCUUCUCUCUGCUGCACGUUGGUGCGCGGGCCAUGGGUGCUCCUCGAGGAUGCGCGGUGGUGCAGAGGAGCCGAUCAUCCGUGAGCGGCGCAGACACGCACACGCGCACACGAGGCACUCACAUGCGCACCUGAUGGCGCUCAUACUCGUCCAGGGGUGAGGCGCGAUGCGGAGAAGCACGGCGUAGAGUCUGUGUGCUGUGCGGCUGCUUGCCCGCUGGAGCGCUCUUGGCGGCGUUGGCUGUGUGAGGGGUGGCAAUGGUGGAGGGCGGCUGGUGUGUGUGUGUGCGAGCGCGUGAGUCCGGGGAGUGGAGGGGUGUGUUCAUUGGUGGAGGAGCAUGCUGACGAGCUGCGGCUCGCGUGCCCGCCGCCCUCGGCCCGGCGCCACGCAGACGCCGUCUGUGCUGCCCAUGUGUGCUGCUCUUCGUUCCCCCACCCCCUUCGCGGCGGUGCCGUCUCCGUGGAUGCUGGGUCCGUGUGCACCCGCCGCGCAUCUGCCUGCUAUGUGCAGUGAACGGGAUGGGCGGUGUCGGCGGUUCGUGGCGGCGGUGGCGCUGCGUGGGUGGGCGGUGCUGCGGCCCCCUGCACACACGUACAGAGAGGCCCCUCCGCCCCUCUCGCACCCUCCCCCUGCCCCCUGCCCCCUGCGCACAUGCGGCUCGAGCGGCCUGGCACAGGCGCGCCUACAGGACACCGCGGAAAGGCGAAAACAGAAGCGAGAAGCUGCCCACGAUAAGCCGUGUAGCUGCGGCUCUUGGCGCUGCAGCUCCCUCGUCCUCGCUGUGCGCCGCGCCGCUACGUGGCACCCGCGGCUAGGCGACGGCGUGCAUGGGCGGAGGGAAGGCCAGCGGGUGCGGGGCGUGGGAGGCGAUGCAGCGCGUCCCAGAGAGGGCUAGCGAGAAAUGCCCCCCUCCCCUCUCCCCCCGUCCUCUCUCGCUUGGCCCCCCUCGCCUGCGCUCCCGUGUCUCCCUCGCUGCCGUUGCGGCCCGUCUCUCGCAUCCGCCGGCCGCACCCCUGCCUAUGUGCCAGCCAAUGGCCCAUGCGCCCCCGCUGUGCACGCGCCCCAGUGUCACUUGCCUGUCUCGUCACCACUGCCUCCCCCGCCUGUCUCUCCCCGUCUCUCCGUCCCUCUCUUCCUCCCCCCCCCUGCACACUGCUGCCCACGCCGCCCAUCCCUCCUCGGCCCCUCACAACACACCCGCACACAACAACACGCCCAACAACAACGCGUGCGCGCGCACGCCACCGCAACACAG
This 3781-nucleotide unclassified non-coding RNA is filed under the name Leishmania donovani. RNAcentral describes it as "gene:LdHU3.34.2660(CDS-product:amastin-like_surfa ce_protein_putative)". The record is from RNAcentral. Lineage: Eukaryota; Euglenozoa; Kinetoplastea; Trypanosomatida; Trypanosomatidae.